UUUUGGGUCAUGGUUCUUUAUUUUUGCAAUCUCCAUAGUCGCAUAUUGCUCUCUCACACCCUUUUUUUUGAUUUUAUAUAUUUUCUUUUAUUAUUAGUUUUUAUUUUUAAUUGUUAUAAUUAAUUAAUUAAAUAAAUGAUAAAGAAAAUAAAUAUUUUCAAUAAACAAGAACCCUUAAUCCAAUGUCAAGUCGUAUUUUCAAAC
This 204-nucleotide long non-coding RNA is filed under the name Lathyrus oleraceus (garden pea). RNAcentral describes it as "Pisum sativum (pea) long non-coding RNA (PSAT_LNC007303)". Lineage: Eukaryota; Viridiplantae; Streptophyta; Magnoliopsida; Fabales; Fabaceae. The record is from RNAcentral.